UACGGGGGGGGCAAGCGUUGUUCGGAAUUACUGGGCGUAAAGGGCUCGUAGGCGGCCAACUAAGUCAGACGUGAAAUCCCUCGGCUUAACCGGGGAACUGCGUCUGAUACUGGAUGGCUUGAGAUCGGGAGAGGGAUGCGGAAUUCCAGGUGUAGCGGUGAAAUGCGUAGAUAUCUGGAGGAACACCCGUGGCGAAGGCGGCUUUCUGGCUCGCAACUGACGCUGAGGCGCGAAAGCGUGGGGAGCAAACAGG
RNAcentral lists this ribosomal RNA (253 nucleotides) under uncultured bacterium. RNAcentral's name for it is "partial 16S ribosomal RNA". It matches the Rfam family "Bacterial small subunit ribosomal RNA", at positions 524 to 776 of the family's 1533-position model. The record is from RNAcentral.